Molecule: ribosomal RNA, 509 nt
Filed under: uncultured bacterium
Lineage: Bacteria
Description: partial 16S ribosomal RNA
Rfam family: Bacterial small subunit ribosomal RNA (bases 16-370)
Source: RNAcentral
GACGAACGCUGGCGGCGUGCUUAACACAUGCAAGUCGAACGGAAAGGCCCUGCUUUUGUGGGGUGCUCGAGUGGCGAACGGGUGAGUAACACGUGAGUAACCUGCCCUUGACUUUGGGAUAACUUCAGGAAACUGGGGCUAAUACCGGAUAGGAGCUCCUGCUGCAUGGUGGGGGUUGGAAAGUUUCGGCGGUUGGGGAUGGACUCGCGGCUUAUCAGCUUGUUGGUGGGGUAGUGGCUUACCAAGGCUUUGACGGGUAGCCGGCCUGAGAGGGUGACCGGACAGGGGGGGGAGUGGAGGCGGACAAGACUGGGGGGGAAGGAAGGGGGGGAGAGUAGUGCACGGUGGGCGGAACGAUGAGGCAGCGACGGGUGGUGGGGGAUGUCGGUGUUGGAUGAGGAAGCCGGUUUCGCGGGGGACGAGGGGGGAGUGAGGGAAGUGAGAAAAGAAGCACCGGCUAACUAGGGGCCAGCGGCCGGAGGAAGAGUGGGAAGAACAUACGUCUAAAC